GCACUUUUCGCACCGGUUCUUAAAAACCAGUGGUAAAAGAAAUGGACGGGAUUGGGGAAAAGACUUUUCGCUCCGGUUUUAACCAAACCGGUGGGAAAAGUUUGUUUUUUCGCACCAGUUCUAACCAAACCGGUGCGAAAAAUUUGUUUUCCCACCGGUUCGGUUCAAACCGGUGCAAAAGCAAUUGUUAAAUAAAAAAAAAAACCCGGUCUCCGAUCUUACUUUUCCUCUUCCGUAGUCCCUCUUUCAUCUCAAACCCUACUCCGCUUUUCUCUUUCAUCUCAAUCUCCUUUUCUCUCCUCUCCCCGUCCUUACAGAUCUGUCGCCCUAAAACUUCUGGCUCGAGACUCCAUCGCCGUCGCCACGACACCUGGUUGGGUGGGUGGGUUAGUUCCUUGGUGGUCGUCUGGUCAGUGGCGGUCGUGCUAGUUAGUUGGGGUUUCGGUUUGUUGGAGGUGGUAAGGUGGUCGGCUGGUCGCUGGUGGACAAGCGAGUUGGUUGGGUGGGUUCGUUGGUGGUCGUUGGUGACGUGGGGCUUCAAUUGGUGGUGGUGCGAGUUGGUUGGGUGGCUUUUGGGUGGUUGUGGUGGGGUUUUAGAUAUUCAUGGUGGUGAGAGGGUGGUUACAAGGUGGGUGCUGGUGGUGAUUAUUUUCUCUCUCAUCCACUUGGAAAGCAGAAAUGACAUUUUAAUAUGAUGUGUUGGGAGGCCAAUUUUUUUCUUGUUGCUGAAAUCCGAGCUGACAUUGAAUAUUUAAAGUCUGUGAUUCAGGUUCGCACUGGAUGUUUACGUUCUAUGAUUUACUAAACCGUGCAAUUCCAAAUCAUACAGAUUUGUCAUCAAAUUAUUUGCAAAAUCUAUAUGGAUCCAAAUUCCAGGUUAAAGGAAUUGAAAAGGAAGAGAUAAUUUGUACCAAACAGGAGCUGGGACAGAAAAAAAAAACUUGUCUGACCACUAAUGGUUAUCAUUGGAUCAAAAUUCUUAUGGAACAGAAACUUGGCUGCUUAUAAACCUACAGAGAGGUAGCUAAAGAAUUGAUGAAAUAUCGGCCAGAUAUAAUCAUUAGUGUGCAUCCAUUGAUGCAACAUGUAAUGUUAUAGGCCCCUAAUUUGCAUGGUGUGAAGGCUUUCGCGACAGCGGUGAAGAAGUUUGAUGACUCUAGGAAGAAGCUUGUCACAGAAAUGGAUUUUGGAGGGUUGUUAAGUAUACCCUUAACUUUUGUACCCCGGAAGUUUGUGUACUGGCUAUUGACAAGGGUGAUGGUUGAUGGUUCGAUAAAUUUUGGAGAUGAGUAUGUGCUUCCUUUGAGUCCUCUUCAGGUCGAGUAUGUACUUGGGAUUCCCAUGGGGUCGAAGGCAUUGCCCUGUACGAUUCCUCAGGAUAAGUAGGUAGAGCAUAGUAGAAUUUUGGAAAAGUUUGGGAAAAAUGAUAGCAUUUCAUUAGUAGCUGCUUUGGGGGCACUGAUUUGAAAGGAUGAGGAAGGCAAUGUGUUGCCACUAUCGGAUGAUGAGAAGGCUGAUUUCAAGAUAGCCUUUCUCAUAGCAGCUCUAGGCUACGUAUUGUGUGCUACGACAAAUAUAAGUUAUCUUGGGGUGAAGCUUGUACCGUCGUUAUUGGUUUACGAUGAAGCUGAUGAGUAUGACCGGUGAACUUAUGUAUUUAACUAGAUGGUUGCAGCAGCCAAGAGUUUCCAAAAGAAAUUUGCUCGUGAUGGAUAUGUUGCAGGUUUUGGGGGUUGUAUCCUUUUUUUAUUGGUGAGUAAAAUUGGGUAUUUGCCACCGUACACCAAAUGCUUUUUGAGUAAUUCUAUUAAAAUUUGCAGUCUUAUUGUUUGUAAUGGCUAGUUGAACUAAAUCAUCCAUCCGGUGCAUUUUUUGUAGAUUUUUUAUCUAGAUCACCUCAGUCGCGUCUCAAUGAGGUGGGGUGUGAGACCGAGACUCGAGGCAUGGUCCGUAUAAAAGAUCAAUGACGCGGUUGGCGAUGAUAAAAAAGAAUCUGGGGAUUUCUAAAAAAUUGCAGUUAAUAUUUGUUUGACUUUCAUUUGAUGUGAAUACUACUAAAGCUGUUGUGUUUUGGGUUCUUUUGUUGUUUGAUAUUUUUGCAGUCUUUGAAUAUAGCUUAUGGGGAGGAGCAUCCGUUGACUCCUCGGGAGGUUCCAAAGCAAAGGGUUGAUAGAGUAGACGUGCAGCAAAGGGUGGAAAGAGUUGACAUGCAACAAACUACGCAGGAGGUAGACGUGGAAAAUAUUACGCGGCAGAUAUAAUGAAAAUCAAUGAUUGUUUUAGAUGUAGCUUUGUAUUUUAUAAAAUAAGUGAUAUGUCCUAUGCCAGUUGUUAAUAGUUUGUAUUUAUGUUUUCCUAAAGGUGUUUGAUAGAAUUACACCCAAGUUGAUGUCUGUGAUAGACUUGAAAUUAGGUGAUGUUAUGAAAUCAAUGCAUCAGUUGAUGUCAUAGUGCGUUGACGUAGCUAAUGCCCAGAGAGUGAUUGGGGGUAAGCCAAUGGAGAAGGAAGUUGUUGUGCAUGAGACCUUGUCUAGUGAAAAGCAUGAUGCUGUGAGUGGUGCAGAUCAAGAUUUGGCCAGUUGUUUGUUAGAGAAGGAACAACUGAAACAAGGUGGGAAAGGACUUAGUGAAGAUCCUUCUACUGAUACAGUUUCAAGUGAAGAUGACCUGGAAUGUGUGGUUCAAAAGAUUACGGUUGAUCCACUAUUUACAAAGGAUGGGGGUGAGGUCAAGGUGGUUGGGGAUGAAUCCAAGGUGGAUGGGGUUGACGCAGAGGUUGAUGAGUGUGUUCACAGAGUUCCAUAGCUGUUUUGAUACUGAAAUGGAAGAUGAGAACAUGGAGCCUAGACCUCAAAUAGUUGUGGGCUUGGUUGGGAUGAGGGGAACUAUUGUGUUGGUUGAUGCUGAGUGCAGUUUGCCAAAUUAAUAUUCAUCUGAUGAGGAAGAUGAGUCUACUGGGAAGGGGGACAGAACUGCGGAUAAGAGGGUGGUGAAACCUAUAAAGGCAGCCUUGUCAGCCAUGUUCACCAAUGUGUCAAACACCCGAUGUCAUACAACGCUUGAGGCACGUUUGCUGCAGUUUGUAAAGCGCUAGAAGGACCUGAAGGAUCCACUUAGGUCUUUGUCCCAGUGCUUGAAGUUCCCAAGGAUUCCCCUAACGAGUCGCACUGGUGGUGCUUAGCAUUAGACAUGAAGGCUCGAAAGUUGUGGAUGAUAGAUUCGAUGUACCCUGACCCGUUCAUCACACAUGCCAAAGAUUUUAAUCUUCAGGUUAGUGGUAUCGACGUCCUUUUUCAACUCUGUGACCAAGAAUGGAAGACUGGUCAACUAAAUUCUUGGACAAGAUGCACUGUUGAGAUCUUAGAGCUAAGGGAUCACUCAUAUUGUGGUGUUCUUAUGCUGGCGAGUAUUAAGUUCUUUUCCAGAAGAUUCACCACAAGUUUAGUGUGGUAAGUGUUUCGGGGUUUUCUGAUGUCCUGCGGGAGAGUUACAAUUCCGAGACUGG
RNA transcript from Chenopodium quinoa (quinoa), 3505 nucleotides. RefSeq lists it as uncharacterized. Lineage: Eukaryota; Viridiplantae; Streptophyta; Magnoliopsida; Caryophyllales; Amaranthaceae. The transcript has 7 exons. The record is from RefSeq and is a predicted model, not a curated record.